UAAGGUUUAGAAUUUGAUUAAGAUUUUAUUAGGAUUCAGAGUUUCAUUAGGAUUUAGUCAAGAAUUAAAAUUUAGGAUUUUAUUAUGAUUUUGUUAGAAUUUAUUUAGAAUUUGAUUAGGAUUUGAUUAAGAUUUAAGAUUUGACUAAAAUUUGAUCUAAGGUUAAAGUUUCGGAUUUGAUUAGGAUUUGGUUUAAGUUUUGAUUAAGAUUGGUUUAAAAUUUCAUUAGGAUUGAUUGAGGACUAUAUUAAGAUUUAAUUAGGAUUCAACUAGGAUUCCUAUUUUUAAUAUUUCUUUAAGAUUUUUUAUUAUGUAUAUUUCAUUAAGAUUAAUUUGUGAUUUUUUUAUUUA
This 351-nucleotide long non-coding RNA is filed under the name Physcomitrium patens. RNAcentral describes it as "long non-coding RNA (PPAT_LNC002398)". Lineage: Eukaryota; Viridiplantae; Streptophyta; Bryopsida; Funariales; Funariaceae. The record is from RNAcentral.